UAUUGGGGGCAAAUGUAAGAGACAAAUCUGCGCGUUGACAUAAAUCCAAUAAAGUUAUACAAGGGUUGACUUUUGCCCAGUUGCUUAAGCAAGCAAAGGGAUCUUCUGUACUUUGAACCAUCCCACUCACUUUUACUUUCCUUACCAAUAAGCCUGAGAUGACAAAGUUGGGUCCCUGGACACUGUAAGAAACCAGCUGUGAAGCCCUGCCUGCCCAUCCGUCAGUACUGAACUGUGCAGGAAUGUGAACGGAUGCUGAGCAGCUGAAGAGGCCUACCCUCCGCCCUUGUGCUCCCCAGCCCUGGCUCAAGUUGCCCAGGUGAGACGAGCACUGUACCCAGUCUCUGCUUGGCACAGCAAGAUAUCCACCCAUGGGAGCAGAACAAAGCCUUAACCCAGCAGGCCCUCCCAGCACGCCAACAUCAGACAGCCCAACGUUCACACAAGCACCGCCGCCAGCCGAACUCAAACUGCCAGACACCAGAGUACGGGGCAUCAGCUGAGAAAAGCUUUAGAAAAACAGAGGACACGUGCAUCUUUGUCCUCUCGAUUCGGAUCAAACUUCUUUUCCAACAUGAAACAAAACGAAAAGUAAUGACUGCGGUUUAAAAAAAAAUAAAAAAA
Molecule: non-coding RNA, 624 nt
Organism: Coturnix japonica (Japanese quail)
Lineage: Eukaryota; Metazoa; Chordata; Aves; Galliformes; Phasianidae
Source: RefSeq, a predicted model, not a curated record